AGGCCUUGCGCUCUUUGAGCGGCCGAUAUCAGAUUAGCUAGUUGGUGAGGUAAAGGCUCACCAAGGCGACGAUCUGUAGCGGGUCUGAGAGGAUGAUCCGCCACACUGGAACUGAGACACGGUCCAGACUCCUACGGGAGGCAGCAGUGGGGAAUUUUGGACAAUGGGGGCAACCCUGAUCCAGCCAUGCCGCGUGAGUGAAGAAGGCCUUCGGGUUGUAAAGCUCUUUCGGCCGGGAAGAAAUCGCAUGGGCCAAUACCCUGUGCGGAUGACGGUACCGGCAUAAGGAGCACCGGCUAACUACGUGCCAGCAGCCGCGGUAAUACGUAGGGUGCGAGCGUUAAUCGGAAUUACUGGGCUAAAGCGUGCGCAGGCGGUUUUGUAAGACAGGCGUGAAAUCCCCGGGCUCAACCUGGGAACUGCGUUUGUGACUGCAAGGCUAGAGUACGGCAGAGGGGGGUGGAAUUCCACGUGUAGCAGUGAAAUGCGUAGAGAUGUGGAGGAACACCAAUGGCGAAGGCAGCCCCCUGGGCCGAUACUGACGCUCAUGCACGAAAGCGUGGGUAGCAAACAGGAUUAGAUACCCUGGUAGUCCACGCCCUAAACGAUGUCAACUAGGUGUUGGGUGGGUAAAACCAUUUAGUACCGGAGCUAACGCGUGAAGUUGACCGCCUGGGGAGUACGGCCGCAAGGUUAAAACUCAAAGGAAUUGACGGGGACCCGCACAAGCGGUGGAUGAUGUGGAUUAAUUCGAUGCAACGCGAAAAACCUUACCUACCCUUGACAUGUCCAGAAGCCUGAAGAGAUUUGGGUGUGCCCGAAAGGGAACUGGAACACAGGUGCUGCAUGGCUGUCGUCAGCUCGUGUCGUGAGAUGUUGGGUUAAGUCCCGCAACGAGCGCAACCCUUGUCGUUAAUUGCCAUCAUUCAGUUGGGCACUUUAACGAGACUGCCGGUGACAAACCGGAGGAAGGUGGGGAUGACGUCAAGCCCUCAUGGCCCUUAUGGGUAGGGCUUCACACGUCAUACAAUGGUCGGUACAAAGGGUUGCCAAGCCGCGAGGUGGAGCCAAUCCCAGAAAGCCGAUCGUAGUCCGGAUCGUAGGCUGCAACUCGCCUGCGUGAAGUCGGAAUCGCUAGUAAUCGUGGAUCAGCAUGUCACGGUGAAUACGUUCCCGGGUCUUGUACACACCGCCCGUCACACCAUGGGAGCGGGUUCCGCCAGAAGUAGGUAGCCUAACCGCAAGGGGGGCGCUUACCACGGCGGGGUUCGUGACUGGGGUGAAGUCGAAACAAGGUA
RNAcentral lists this ribosomal RNA (1298 nucleotides) under metagenome. RNAcentral's name for it is "bacterial SSU rRNA". It matches the Rfam family "Bacterial small subunit ribosomal RNA", at positions 208 to 1498 of the family's 1533-position model. The record is from RNAcentral.